CAUCUUGUGGUGUGUUGAUGGUUCCAAUGCAGUUUAUGAUCCACAUUUAUUCUAAAUUUAUAGUGUUCGAAUUUUACUGUUCCAGACUUGUGUAUCUAUUAAUACCUUUGUUUCCUUUUUGUAGAAUGUCUGUCAUUUUUCUAACAUUUAGAACUAAUGGAAUCUUGAUCUUUUCAGGUUAGUUAAAGAAAGGUGGGGAUCUCUUGGUUAGCUUAACUGCAUACCAUAACUGCAUAGCCGUGUGCCUUUGCCCUCUCCAUCAAUGAGAAUGUAGUAAUAGAGGCAGAUGACAUUGAUCUUGAUGAUCAGGGUGAGAAACCAAAAGGGAACAAUGUGAUGCCAACGCUAAAUAUAAAAAAAAUAUUCCAACAAGUUCCAUUCGUAUAAAGGCGUUGAUUUGAAGAAUGCAGCUGAAAGUGAUUUAGGUGUCAUAUUUUCCAGCCCUUGAUUUCAGCAAUCUCCGUGUUUUUUUUAUGUAUAUAAUUUUUAAAAUGUAUAAUUUCAAUAAUCAGUUAUUAUUAUUAUCAUCUUUGUUUUUUUCCAAUGAAAUCUUGCUUUAUAUAUUACCCAAAGAUUGCUGGAUUCUCUGAAAUUCUGACUAAGAAAUUCUGACCAAAUUUAUGUAACAAAAUAUUAGAAAGUGUAUUUAUGUUAAGCAAUCUAUUUAUGUAAGGUCGUACAGGGAUUUCAGCAAUCUAAUUAGACCAUUUUAAGGAA
Molecule: long non-coding RNA, 717 nt
Organism: Spinacia oleracea (spinach)
Lineage: Eukaryota; Viridiplantae; Streptophyta; Magnoliopsida; Caryophyllales; Amaranthaceae
Exons: 3
Source: RefSeq, a predicted model, not a curated record